ACCACCUAUCGGGUAGCCAACUACAUUUUCUGUAAAUCGGUUAUUAAGUCAAAGUUAUAUGAUAUAUAAAAAACUGGGCGUUAUUACUCAGCAAUAAUAUAUAAUGCUGCUCAUUUGCGUUAAUCGUCAGUAUCCGACGAUAUAUUUACUGUAAUUCGGUAUAAUUUGGAAAUUUGGAAAUGGAAAAAAAUUUAUGAAAUCUUAAAAAAAAACAAUUAUUUGUACGUCAUUGGCUUCACUUGACAUUCUAAAUUGAAAUGUUUGCAUUCUUUCUAUUAGAAACAUUAUUUGAAUUCACAUUGGCUUGGGAAAUAUUGAACGAUUGGUCAAAUGAGGAUGAAAAUAGUGAGACUACCAGCCGGUGUCCAGAAGAAUGCACAAGCACAAGACCCACCUAAAUUUUUUAUUGGAGAUUGUAAUAAUGCCAUUAGAAUCAAGAUAAAUAUGUAUAAUAAAUUGAAAUUGCGCUUUUCAAGCUGUUGUUAAAAAAA
Non-coding RNA from Bactrocera oleae (olive fruit fly), 491 nucleotides. The record is from RefSeq and is a predicted model, not a curated record. Lineage: Eukaryota; Metazoa; Arthropoda; Insecta; Diptera; Tephritidae.